This 513-nucleotide ribosomal RNA is filed under the name uncultured bacterium. RNAcentral's name for it is "bacterial SSU rRNA". It matches the Rfam family "Bacterial small subunit ribosomal RNA", at positions 791 to 1310 of the family's 1533-position model. The record is from RNAcentral.
UAGUCCACGCCCUAAACGAUGCUAACUAGAUGUUUGUAUUUAUAUGAGUAACGUAGCUAACGCGUGAAGUUGACCGCCUGGGGAGUACGGUCGCAAGAUUAAAACUCAAAUGAAUUGACGGGGGCCCGCACAAGCGGUGGAUUAUGUGGAUUAAUUCGAUGCAACGCGAAAAACCUUACCUGGCCUUGACAUGUACGGAACUUUCUAGAGAUAGAUUGGUGCCUUCGGGAACCGUAACACAGGUGCUGCAUGGCUGUCGUCAGCUCGUGUCGUGAGAUGUUGGGUUAAGUCCCGCAACGAGCGCAACCCUUGCCAUUAAUUGCCAUCAUUUAGUUGGGCACUUUAAUGGGACUGCCGGUGACAAACCGGAGGAAGGUGGGGAUGACGUCAAGUCCUCAUGGCCCUUAUGGCCAGGGCUUCACACGUAAUACAAUGGUCGGUACAGAGGGUUGCUAAGCCGCGAGGUGGAGCCAAUCCCAGAAAGCCGAUCGUAGUCCGGAUUGUUCUCUGCAA